UUGCUCCUUCCCUUGCGUUGGGGAGAUUCCAUUGAGAAACGGCACAGUGCCAUGCUUCUCUAGCAUUCCACUUGUAAUGAUGGAAAGCUUCAACCCAUACUUAAGCUUUUUUUUUUUUGGUAAAGAACCCAUACUUAAGUUCAUUCCCACCUAAGACCAGCUCAAGCACCCCAGUCCAAGACAGUGCAACAGGGACCAAGAGAGGGAAAAUGUCGGCUCAUAUUAUCAUCACUGUAUUCGCAAUAUGGAUUCGACCCACAGGGGAUUUGGUAAGACAGGGAGAUCUCAAACCUGGAGAUCACAUCUAUACUUAUCGGCUGUAUGGCCUAUACCCCCACCAUGGUUAGUGGUUCAUCCUCUUCUUCCUUUUCCUAUUAAUCAUUAUCAUUUUUCUUGAACAUAGAUAUCUUCAUAUGUGGCUCGACUGAAUUUUCCUUUAUUAUCUUAUGUUUUUGGCCCAAGAACAGUAUUUGCAUAGCUUCAGAGAUAAAAGACUCUCCUCCACCGGUCCUCCGCCGCCGCCGCACGUUCCGGCCGCUCCCCUCCGGCGGCCCCAUUGUCGACCCCUCUUCUCAGCUUUUCAGGAGUCGACGAAAUGCCAGAGAGAGAACCUGACUGAGCUGUGCUUCAUUUCCUUCUUUCCGGUCGCCGAUUUAUAUCAAGCUUCGCCAUUAUACUUCUCAGCAGUUCCAGCGUUGACCGUCUUCAUCUCCAGCGAAUCUCCAUCGUAGACUCUCCC
Molecule: long non-coding RNA, 739 nt
Filed under: Eucalyptus grandis
Lineage: Eukaryota; Viridiplantae; Streptophyta; Magnoliopsida; Myrtales; Myrtaceae
Description: long non-coding RNA (EGRA_LNC005252)
Source: RNAcentral